GAUGAAGAACGUAGCGAAAUGCGAUAAGUAAUGUGAAUUGCAGAAUUCAGUGAAUCAUCGAAUCUUUGAACGCAUCUUGCGCUCCUUGGUAUUCUGAGGAGCAUGCCUGUUUGAGUGUCAUUAAAUUCUCAACUACACUGACUUUGAAUUGGUGUGGCUUGGAUUUGGGGGGAAAAUUGUUGUGGGCUUUUUGUAUAGUCUGCUCCCCUGAAAUUGAUUACCGGUACCUUUGUGGAACUGUCUACAGGUGUGAUAAUUAUCUACAUCUUAGACAUCUGCUGGAAUGCUGCUUUCUAAACCUUACUUGUAUUGACAAUCUUGACCUCAAAUCAGGUAGGACUACCCGCUGAACUUAAGCAUAUCAAUAAGCGGAGGA
Molecule: unclassified non-coding RNA, 376 nt
Filed under: soil metagenome
Description: partial contains 5.8S ribosomal RNA, internal transcribed spacer 2, and large subunit ribosomal RNA
Rfam family: 5.8S ribosomal RNA (bases 1-120)
Source: RNAcentral